This 71-nucleotide transfer RNA is filed under the name Cordylochernes scorpioides. RNAcentral describes it as "tRNA-Gly". The record is from RNAcentral. Lineage: Eukaryota; Metazoa; Arthropoda; Arachnida; Pseudoscorpiones; Chernetidae.
UACAUCGGCCGGGAAUCGAACCCGGGCCGUCCCCGUGGCAGGCGAGCAUUCUACCACUGAACCACCGAUGG